Molecule: ribosomal RNA, 371 nt
Filed under: uncultured organism
Description: partial 16S ribosomal RNA
Rfam family: Bacterial small subunit ribosomal RNA
Source: RNAcentral
GUAGGUGGCAAGCGUUGUCCGGAAUUAUUGGGCGUAAAGCGCGCGCAGGCGGUUCUUUAAGUCUGAUGUGAAAGCCCACGGCUCAACCGUGGAGGGUCAUUGGAAACUGGAGAGCUUGAGUACAGAAGAGGAAAGCGGAAUUCCACGUGUAGCGGUGAAAUGCGUAGAGAUGUGGAGGAACACCAGUGGCGAAGGCGGCUUUCUGGUCUGUAACUGACGCUGAGGCGCGAAAGCGUGGGGAGCAAACAGGAUUAGAUACCCUGGUAGUCCACGCCGUAAACGAUGAGUGCUAAGUGUUAGGGGGUUUCCGCCCCUUAGUGCUGCAGCUAACGCAUUAAGCACUCCGCCUGGGGAGUACGGCCGCAAGGCUG